This 353-nucleotide long non-coding RNA is filed under the name Setaria italica (foxtail millet). Its description in RNAcentral is "long non-coding RNA (SITA_LNC003755)". The record is from RNAcentral. Lineage: Eukaryota; Viridiplantae; Streptophyta; Magnoliopsida; Poales; Poaceae.
GGCUCCGAAACAUGUGUGAGCAUGAGAGCAUCUGCGGAUCCAGGACCGCGCCAUGUGACUCCUGUGGGCGAUCGGUUAUGCUGAAGGAGAUGGACAUUCACCAUAUCGCUGUUCAUCAGAAGAGCUGAUCACCCAGAGGCACAGACCUGAGCUGAGCUUGCUGAUUGCCCAAAACUUAGAAAUUGUUGUUAUCAAAUUUCUGUCCACCGAAUCACGGUUCAUCAGAAGAACUGAUCACCCAGUGGCACAGGGCUGACCUGAGCUAAGCCUGCUGAUUGCCCAAAACUACGAAAUCUGUUGGAUCAAACAAGACCCCUUGGGACUGCAAAUACGCAAUGUGUUACUGGUUUGUU